Acromyrmex echinatior (Panamanian leafcutter ant) is the source of this 190-nucleotide long non-coding RNA. Lineage: Eukaryota; Metazoa; Arthropoda; Insecta; Hymenoptera; Formicidae. The record is from RefSeq and is a predicted model, not a curated record.
GGGAAGAGGAGAAAUGAAUAGAAAAAUAAUGCAGCUAAGAAGGAGAAAGAGAUUGAAUGAUCUGUGAGUAAGUUUCAGGAUAGAGAAGGCUAGGAUGAUAAUAGAAGAAGGCUACAAUGGAACAUACUGGAAAUAGGAAGAAAACUUUCGGAAAUAGACUUGACAGAAGAUAAAAGAGAGAGGAUAACAA